This 955-nucleotide long non-coding RNA is filed under the name Cavia porcellus (domestic guinea pig). Its description in RNAcentral is "lncRNA (ENSCPOG00000034076.1)". Lineage: Eukaryota; Metazoa; Chordata; Mammalia; Rodentia; Caviidae. The record is from RNAcentral.
AGAGAACAAAGAACAGAGGAGGGCUAACCCUGCGGAAUCUGGUGUGGAGACCUGCAUUACCCUCCUGCAUUUCCCUCCUCUCUGCUCCUCACUGUGAAAGAGCCUGGCCAGCUCCAUGCUGAGAAGAUGAUGCCACAGAGGCAGCUUUGGGCAAAUCUUUCCCUUUUUCUCCAAACUCAUGGCCUCCUCUAAUUUCAUCAACCUUAAGCAGAGAAACCUAAGCCUAUGGACCUAAGAGUGUAGUAAGUUUGGGGAGCAUGAAGGGACACAGGCCCCGCCUUUUGAGAGGCAUGCAUGCUGGGAACAGGGAUGUAGUGCUGGCAGCUAUUGCUGGGCUACUUUCCUAAUUAAUUAAUUAAUUAGUUAUUGGUACUGGGAAUGAAGUCGGGCCUUGGGCUUUCCAGGCAGGCUGUGUGGUGCUGAGCUACAUCUCUGGCCCAGGGUUACUUUCUUUUUUCGGGACAGUGGACCAAACUCACAGCCUCAUGCUUGCCAGGCAGGUGCUCAUGUCCCUGAGCUGUAUCCCUGGACACCAUGGGUCACUGUUUUUUUUUUUUGUUUUGUUAUUUUGUUAGCAAGGCCUGAACUCAAGACCGUUUUUAACUAGGAAUGACUUUUUUAACUAGGAAUUUUCCUCCAGCAUAGGCAGCCUAAAAAGAUUCCCCCUUUUGCUGUGAAAAGGAAAAAGGCUGCUGGGGAGGGGGAGAUUUGUGCCUGUUUUCCUGCUGGGAAGUUCUCCCCAGAAUCCACUGGCCCCACGGCUUGGAUUUACUCCAAGGUCAUUCCUGCAGCAAGGUGGCUUUAAAGGACUCAAAGCAGAGGCCCCGCUCUGGACAGCAGGCAGGUGGUGUGACACCUGAGGCCUCAGGACACAGGCUGAAAUCAGAAAGGGAACUGUAAGUGGCACCGGAAAUUAAAAUUUUAAAUGUUUCACUUUGUUUCCUUUAGUGAGAAG